Molecule: ribosomal RNA, 312 nt
Filed under: Triticum aestivum (bread wheat)
Lineage: Eukaryota; Viridiplantae; Streptophyta; Magnoliopsida; Poales; Poaceae
Description: partial small subunit ribosomal RNA
Source: RNAcentral
CUGUUUACUCAGCCAGAUCUGAACCUCCGUCAGCAGCGAUGGAUGGAAGCUAUUGCUGACUACAACUGCGGUAUAUCUUAUACACCUGGCAAGGCUAAUGUAAUGGCCGAUGCCCUAAGCCGAAAGUCUUAUUGCAAUAAUCACCAGGUCUACAAAGCUCAACCCCGCCUUUAUGAAGAGCUAUGCAAGCUGAACCUUCAACUAAUUCCACAGGGUUCUCUGAAUAACCUUGUUUUGGAACCAACUCUUCUGAAAGCAAUCAAGUCUGCUCAAGCCAAAGAUGCUCAUGUUGAUCUGAUGAAAAAGGAUCUU